RNAcentral lists this ribosomal RNA (860 nucleotides) under uncultured bacterium. RNAcentral's name for it is "bacterial SSU rRNA". It matches the Rfam family "Bacterial small subunit ribosomal RNA", at positions 1 to 848 of the family's 1533-position model. The record is from RNAcentral.
UUCGCCCUUAGAGUUUGAUCCUGCGCUCAGGAUGAACGCUAGCUACAGGCUUAACACAUGCAAGUCGAGGGGAAACGACAUCGAAAGCUUGCUUUUGAUGGGCGUCGACCGGCGCACGGGUGAGUAACGCGUAUCCAACCUGCCCACCACUUGGGGAUAACCUUGCGAAAGUAAGACUAAUACCCAAUGACGUCUCUAGAAGACAUCUGAAAGAGAUUAAAGAUUUAUCGGUGAUGGAUGGGGAUGCGUCUGAUUAGCUUGUUGGCGGGGUAACGGCCCACCAAGGCAACGAUCAGUAGGGGUUCUGAGAGGAAGGUCCCCCACAUUGGAACUGAGACACGGUCCAAACUCCUACGGGAGGCAGCAGUGAGGAAUAUUGGUCAAUGGGCGAGAGCCUGAACCAGCCAAGUAGCGUGCAGGAUGACGGCCCUAUGGGUUGUAAACUGCUUUUAUAAGGGAAUAAAGUGAGAGUUGUGACUCUUUUUGCAUGUACCUUAUGAAUAAGGACCGGCUAAUUCCGUGCCAGCAGCCGCGGUAAUACGGAAGGUCCGGGCGUUAUCCGGAUUUAUUGGGUUUAAAGGGAGCGUAGGCCGGAGAUUAAGCGUGUUGUGAAAUGUAGACGCUCAACGUCUGCACUGCAGCGCGAACUGGUUUCCUUGAGUACGCACAAAGUGGGCGGAAUUCGUGGUGUAGCGGUGAAAUGCUUAGAUAUCACGAAGAACUCCGAUUGCGAAGGCAGCUCACUGGAACGCAACUGACGCUGAAGCUCGAAAGUGCGGGUAUCGAACAGGAUUAGAUACCCUGGUAGUCCGCACGGUAAACGAUGGAUGCCCGCUGUUGGUCUGAAUAGGUCAGCGGCC